This 31-nucleotide non-coding RNA is filed under the name Rattus norvegicus (Norway rat). Lineage: Eukaryota; Metazoa; Chordata; Mammalia; Rodentia; Muridae. The record is from RNAcentral.
UCCUGGGUGACUUGUGUAGAAUUAGGUUGGU